Non-coding RNA from Pimephales promelas (fathead minnow), 541 nucleotides. The record is from RefSeq and is a predicted model, not a curated record. Lineage: Eukaryota; Metazoa; Chordata; Actinopteri; Cypriniformes; Leuciscidae.
AAGUGACCUCUGUCUCUCUUCUGAUAGGGCGAGUUUCUGCUGCAGAUCCUGACACAUAAUCAGAUAAAUAAGACGUGAGAAGAGAACAACCGUGCAAUGCAGAAACAGGUUAAAGUGAGGCAAGGUAAAACAUUGUAUCAUCUGGAGGAAGGCGGUUCACACAUCAUUUCCAGACCUGAUAAAGAAAAGGAUAGGACAGAUCAACAAACAGCCAGGAAAUCUGCUUACUUAGUUCCAAGACGUCCAUUCCCAUGCUGAGUAGCACCCUGCUGAAAAGUCUGCUUCACUUUAAAGGUGUUGUUGUUGGCAGCACGUCAAAACGGGGAAAAGUGUUCGGAAUGGUCAGACAAAAUCCCGUGAUGGUGUGCAGAAUACACUAUGACUCUCCACAUGUGGAUUCAGACUUUGGACGAGAGGAAGUGAAGAAUGAGGGGAGGAACCAAAGAUGUAAUUUCUCAAAACAACUCUCUUGCAUUUCUACAUUAGUGAAGACCUUUGUGUAACCCGCUGCCCUUUUAUUGAUUUUUUGGUGACCGAUCAA